CCCUGCCAUUUGUACACACCGCCCGUCGCACCUACCGAUUGAAUGGUCCGGUGAAAUCUUCGGACCGUGACAUGGUUUUGUUCACUCAAGACGUUGUCGCGGAAAGUUGAUUAAACCUUACCAUUUAG
This 128-nucleotide ribosomal RNA is filed under the name uncultured eukaryote. RNAcentral describes it as "partial small subunit ribosomal RNA". It matches the Rfam family "Eukaryotic small subunit ribosomal RNA", at positions 1651 to 1776 of the family's 1831-position model. The record is from RNAcentral.